AUGGAGAGGUAUCGAGUUUGGUCUCGAACUGUUGAAGAAGGUCUGAUUUGGCGCAUAGGAAAUGGUAGAAGCAUACAAAUAACAAGAGAUCAAUGGAUUCCAAGGAAGGAGGGACUGAAAGUUGCAGUUUUUGCAAGGAGGUCAAGACUCCAAUGGGUCAACCAACUGAUAGACCAGGAGACAAAAGAGUGGAAGGUGGAACUAGUGAGGCAAGUUUUCCACAAGUUUGAUGCUGAUGAGAUUUGUAAAAUAAGAAUUCUGAAGGUGGAUGUGGAGGAUUGCAUAGCUUGGCACGGCGAGAACUCUGGGAUCUUUACAGUCAAGAGCGCCUACAAACUGGCAGAUUCGAUACCGAGAAAUAAAGUAGAGAAGCCAACAAGUUCAGCGAGGGAGCCGGGUGAUCGCAUUAUCUGGGACGCUAUUUGGAAAGCAAAAAUACCAGAAAAGGUAAAGAUUUUUGGCUGGAGAGUAGCUACCAAUUCUCUACCCACUAAGCAUAACGCAUUCAGACGCACCAUAGCGGAGGAUAAUGUUUGUGAAAUUUGUGGAGUGGAAAAAGAAGAUGAAUAUCAUGCCAUCAUAACAUGCACUAGAAGCCGAGCACUAAGGUAUGAAAUGAGGGGAGUUUGAGAUUUGCCUAAGGAAUCUGAACUCAGUUACACGGGUGGGGAUUGGUUGCAAAUGCCGAUGUUAUCUCAGUCAGAGAAUGUCAGAAACAACACACUGAUGGUCCUCUGGCAGGCGUGGAACUUAAGAAACAACCUGGUGCAUGGCGAUGGGAAGCAUACUGUCUCGAAUUUAGUGAGGCAUCUGAUUAAAUUAAAAGAAGAUCUUCUGUUGACUACAGGUGACUCGUCAGUGGAGGAAAGUAAGAAUAAGCAGUCUCUGUUCCCUGUUAAAAACUGUAAGCCGGCUUCCCCGAUGUCAACCAGUUGGUCCGGCCCGGAACCAGGCAGGGCAAAAUUAAACUGUGAUGCCGCGUUUUCUGAGGAUACAGGACAGACCUGGGGAGGGGCCGUGGCUAGAGACCAUAAGGGGCAUGUUUUUUUCUCUGUUGGCCGUCGACUGGCUCGAUGCAGUUCAGCAGAAGAAGCAGAGGGUGCGGUAGCUAUAAUGAGCCUAGCAGAAUUCUCAAAGUUGUUUGUAGGUCAGCUGGUCCUUUAA
RNAcentral lists this ribosomal RNA (1164 nucleotides) under Triticum aestivum (bread wheat). RNAcentral's name for it is "partial small subunit ribosomal RNA". The record is from RNAcentral. Lineage: Eukaryota; Viridiplantae; Streptophyta; Magnoliopsida; Poales; Poaceae.